RNAcentral lists this ribosomal RNA (497 nucleotides) under uncultured bacterium. RNAcentral describes it as "partial 16S ribosomal RNA". It matches the Rfam family "Bacterial small subunit ribosomal RNA", at positions 28 to 507 of the family's 1533-position model. The record is from RNAcentral.
GACGAACGCUGGCGGCGUGCCUAAUACAUGCAAGUUGAGCGCUGAAGGUUGGUCCUUGUACCAACUGGAUGAGCAGCGAACGGGUGAGUAACGCGUGGGGAAUCUGCCUUUGAGCGGGGGACAACAUUUGGAAACGAAUGCUAAUACCGCAUAAAAACUUUAAACACAAGUUUUAAGUUUGAAAGAUGCAAUUGCAUCACUCAAAGAUGAUCCCGCGUUGUAUUAGCUAGUUGGUGAGGUAAAGGCUCACCAAGGCGAUGAUACAUAGCCGACCUGAGAGGGUGAUCGGCCACAUUGGGACUGAGACACGGCCCAAACUCCUACGGGAGGCAGCAGUAGGGAAGCUUCGGCAAUGGACGAAAGUCUGACCGAGCAACGCCGCGUGAGUGAAGAAGGUUUUCGGAUCGUAAAACUCUGUUGGUAGAGAAGAACGUUGGUGAGAGUGGAAAGCUCAUCAAGUGACGGUAACUACCCAGAAAGGGACGGCUAACUACGUG